CACGUAGGGGGCAAGCGUUGUCCGGAUUUAUUGGGCGUAAAGAGCUCGUAGGUGGUUCGGUAAGUCGGGUGUUAAACCCCCAGGCUCAACCUGGGGACGCCACUCGAUACUGCUGUGACUAGAGUCCGGUAGGGGAGCGUGGAAUUCCUGGUGUUGCGGUGAAAUGCGCAGAUAUCAGGAGGAACACCAGCGGCGAAGGCGGCGCUCUGGGCCGGUACUGACACUGAGGAGCGAAAGCGUGGGUAGCAAACAGG
RNAcentral lists this ribosomal RNA (254 nucleotides) under uncultured bacterium. Its description in RNAcentral is "partial 16S ribosomal RNA". It matches the Rfam family "Bacterial small subunit ribosomal RNA", at positions 524 to 776 of the family's 1533-position model. The record is from RNAcentral.